RNAcentral lists this ribosomal RNA (440 nucleotides) under uncultured bacterium. RNAcentral's name for it is "partial 16S ribosomal RNA". It matches the Rfam family "Bacterial small subunit ribosomal RNA", at positions 338 to 795 of the family's 1533-position model. The record is from RNAcentral.
CCUACGGGUGGCAGCAGUAGGGAAUAUUGCUCAAUGGGGGAAACCCUGAAGCAGCAACGCCGCGUGGAGGAUGAAGGUUUUCGGGUUGUAAACUCCUUUUGUCAGAGAAGAUACUGAUGGUAUUUAACGAUUAAGCACCGGCGAACUCCUUGCCAGCAGCCGCGGUAAUACGGAGGGGGCGAGCGUUAUUCGGAAUCACUGGGCGUAAAGAGCGCGGAGGCGGGAUAGGAAGUCAGAUGUGAAAUACUAUGGCUUAACCAUAGGACUGCAUUUGAAACUGUUAUUCUAGAGUAUGGGAGAGGCAAGUGGAAUUCUUGGUGUAGGGGUAAAAUCCGUAGAGAUAAAGAGGAAUACUCGUUGCGAAGGCGACCUGCUAGAACAUAACUGACGCUGAUGCGCGAAAGCGUGGGGAGCAAACAGGAUUAGAUACCCGAGUAGUC